Molecule: ribosomal RNA, 397 nt
Filed under: uncultured bacterium
Lineage: Bacteria
Description: bacterial SSU rRNA
Rfam family: Bacterial small subunit ribosomal RNA
Source: RNAcentral
UACUGCACAAUGGGGGAAACCCUGAUGCAGCGACGCCGCGUGAGUGAGGAAGUAUUUCGGUAUGUAAAGCUCUAUCAGCAGGGAAGAANNUGACGGUACCUGACUAAGAAGCCCCGGCGAAUUACGUGCCAGCAGCCGCGGUAAUACGUAGGGGGCAAGCGUUAUCCGGAUUUACUGGGGGUAAAGGGAGCCUAGACGGAAUUGCAAGUCUGAUGUGAAAAUCCGGGGCCCAACCCCGGAACUGCAUUGGAAACUGUAUUUCUAGAGUGUCGGAGAGGCAAGUGGAAUUCCUGGUGUAGCGGUGAAAUGCGUAGGUAUCAGGAGGAACACCAGUGGCGAAGGCGGCUUGCUGGACGAUGACUGACGUUGAGGCUCGAAAGCGUGGGGAGCAAACAGG